RNAcentral lists this ribosomal RNA (2924 nucleotides) under Escherichia coli. Its description in RNAcentral is "partial 23S ribosomal RNA". It matches the Rfam family "Bacterial large subunit ribosomal RNA". The record is from RNAcentral. Lineage: Bacteria; Pseudomonadati; Pseudomonadota; Gammaproteobacteria; Enterobacterales; Enterobacteriaceae.
GGGUUGUGAGGUUAAGCGACUAAGCGUACACGGUGGAUGCCCUGGCAGUCAGAGGCGAUGAAGGACGUGCUAAUCUGCGAUAAGCGUCGGUAAGGUGAUAUGAACCGUUAUAACCGGCGAUUUCCGAAUGGGGAAACCCAGUGUGAUUCGUCACACUAUCAUUAACUGAAUCCAUAGGUUAAUGAGGCGAACCGGGGGAACUGAAACAUCUAAGUACCCCGAGGAAAAGAAAUCAACCGAGAUUCCCCCAGUAGCGGCGAGCGAACGGGGAGCAGCCCAGAGCCUGAAUCAGUGUGUGUGUUAGUGGAAGCGUCUGGAAAGGCGCGCGAUACAGGGUGACAGCCCCGUACACAAAAAUGCACAUACUGUGAGCUCGAUGAGUAGGGCGGGACACGUGGUAUCCUGUCUGAAUAUGGGGGGACCAUCCUCCAAGGCUAAAUACUCCUGACUGACCGAUAGUGAACCAGUACCGUGAGGGAAAGGCGAAAAGAACCCCGGCGAGGGGAGUGAAAAAGAACCUGAAACCGUGUACGUACAAGCAGUGGGAGCACGCUUAGGCGUGUGACUGCGUACCUUUUGUAUAAUGGGUCAGCGACUUAUAUUCUGUAGCAAGGUUAACCGAAUAGGGGAGCCGAAGGGAAACCGAGUCUUAACUGGGCGUUAAGUUGCAGGGUAUAGACCCGAAACCCGGUGAUCUAGCCAUGGGCAGGUUGAAGGUUGGGUAACACUAACUGGAGGACCGAACCGACUAAUGUUGAAAAAUUAGCGGAUGACUUGUGGCUGGGGGUGAAAGGCCAAUCAAACCGGGAGAUAGCUGGUUCUCCCCGAAAGCUAUUUAGGUAGCGCCUCGUGAAUUCAUCUCCGGGGGUAGAGCACUGUUUCGGCAAGGGGGUCAUCCCGACUUACCAACCCGAUGCAAACUGCGAAUACCGGAGAAUGUUAUCACGGGAGACACACGGCGGGUGCUAACGUCCGUCGUGAAGAGGGAAACAACCCAGACCGCCAGCUAAGGUCCCAAAGUCAUGGUUAAGUGGGAAACGAUGUGGGAAGGCCCAGACAGCCAGGAUGUUGGCUUAGAAGCAGCCAUCAUUUAAAGAAAGCGUAAUAGCUCACUGGUCGAGUCGGCCUGCGCGGAAGAUGUAACGGGGCUAAACCAUGCACCGAAGCUGCGGCAGCGACACUAUGUGUUGUUGGGUAGGGGAGCGUUCUGUAAGCCUGUGAAGGUGUGCUGUGAGGCAUGCUGGAGGUAUCAGAAGUGCGAAUGCUGACAUAAGUAACGAUAAAGCGGGUGAAAAGCCCGCUCGCCGGAAGACCAAGGGUUCCUGUCCAACGUUAAUCGGGGCAGGGUGAGUCGACCCCUAAGGCGAGGCCGAAAGGCGUAGUCGAUGGGAAACAGGUUAAUAUUCCUGUACUUGGUGUUACUGCGAAGGGGGGACGGAGAAGGCUAUGUUGGCCGGGCGACGGUUGUCCCGGUUUAAGCGUGUAGGCUGGUUUUCCAGGCAAAUCCGGAAAAUCAAGGCUGAGGCGUGAUGACGAGGCACUACGGUGCUGAAGCAACAAAUGCCCUGCUUCCAGGAAAAGCCUCUAAGCAUCAGGUAACAUCAAAUCGUACCCCAAACCGACACAGGUGGUCAGGUAGAGAAUACCAAGGCGCUUGAGAGAACUCGGGUGAAGGAACUAGGCAAAAUGGUGCCGUAACUUCGGGAGAAGGCACGCUGAUAUGUAGGUGAAGUCCCUUGCGGAUGGAGCUGAAAUCAGUCGAAGAUACCAGCUGGCUGCAACUGUUUAUUAAAAACACAGCACUGUGCAAACACGAAAGUGGACGUAUACGGUGUGACGCCUGCCCGGUGCCGGAAGGUUAAUUGAUGGGGUCAGCGCAAGCGAAGCUCUUGAUCGAAGCCCCGGUAAACGGCGGCCGUAACUAUAACGGUCCUAAGGUAGCGAAAUUCCUUGUCGGGUAAGUUCCGACCUGCACGAAUGGCGUAAUGAUGGCCAGGCUGUCUCCACCCGAGACUCAGUGAAAUUGAACUCGCUGUGAAGAUGCAGUGUACCCGCGGCAAGACGGAAAGACCCCGUGAACCUUUACUAUAGCUUGACACUGAACAUUGAGCCUUGAUGUGUAGGAUAGGUGGGAGGCUUGGAAGUGUGGACGCCAGUCUGCAUGGAGCCGACCUUGAAAUACCACCCUUUAAUGUUUGAUGUUCUAACGUUGACCCGUAAUCCGGGUUGCGGACAGUGUCUGGUGGGUAGUUUGACUGGGGCGGUCUCCUCCUAAAGAGUAACGGAGGAGCACGAAGGUUGGCUAAUCCUGGUCGGACAUCAGGAGGUUAGUGCAAUGGCAUAAGCCAGCUUGACUGCGAGCGUGACGGCGCGAGCAGGUGCGAAAGCAGGUCAUAGUGAUCCGGUGGUUCUGAAUGGAAGGGCCAUCGCUCAACGGAUAAAAGGUACUCCGGGGAUAACAGGCUGAUACCGCCCAAGAGUUCAUAUCGACGGCGGUGUUUGGCACCUCGAUGUCGGCUCAUCACAUCCUGGGGCUGAAGUAGGUCCCAAGGGUAUGGCUGUUCGCCAUUUAAAGUGGUACGCGAGCUGGGUUUAGAACGUCGUGAGACAGUUCGGUCCCUAUCUGCCGUGGGCGCUGGAGAACUGAGGGGGGCUGCUCCUAGUACGAGAGGACCGGAGUGGACGCAUCACUGGUGUUCGGGUUGUCAUGCCAAUGGCACUGCCCGGUAGCUAAAUGCGGAAGAGAUAAGUGCUGAAAGCAUCUAAGCACGAAACUUGCCCCGAGAUGAGUUCUCCCUGACCCUUUAAGGGUCCUGAAGGAACGUUGAAGACGACGACGUUGAUAGGCCGGGUGUGUAAGCGCAGCGAUGCGUUGAGCUAACCGGUACUAAUGAACCGUGAGGCUUAACCUUACAACGCCGAAG